Molecule: long non-coding RNA, 648 nt
Filed under: Androctonus crassicauda
Lineage: Eukaryota; Metazoa; Arthropoda; Arachnida; Scorpiones; Buthidae
Source: RNAcentral
CUUUGAAGCUUGUUUUUUGUGUUUUUCCUCUUGAUUUCAUAUAUCCUCUUGAUUUUUAAGAAUAAAAAACAAAAAUUUUCUUCAACCAAAAAGUAACCCAAUUAGUUCACUACAUAAAAACUACAAAUAUAUUGAAAAAUACUAUAAAACAUUGGUACAUUAUGUUGACCUAAGACCACUGCAUCCCAGCUGGACAUAUCUUAAUUAAAAUUAUGGUUCUUAAAGUAGCAGAUUGGAAUAAAGUUCUAUUUUUUAAGUUUCCCUUGCAUAAGGGACAAAACCAAAUUGGAAACCUAGAGUAGCAGUUGUAGGAAAUAGGUAUCUAAAUUUUAUAUAAGCAUUAACUCACAUAAACGAUAUUGUCUAUGAACAGUGUGUUGGGCUCUGUUGCAGUAGGACAGUUGAUAGGAUUUGCAGCAUGGAAAUACUUCAGCUUUCCAACCAGAGGAACUGGGAUUGAAUUAGGAUGUCACAACACUGGAAAAUUUGAGCACCUAGGCCAUCUAUAUCCUUCCUUUACUGCAGGGGUUCUUAACCAGGAGUCCAUGAACUUGAAUGAGAAAAAAUCAACUCAUUAUCUUUAUUUUCACUGACCACUAAUUAAAUCUAGCAUUUUCUUCUCUUAUAAAUGUAUGUAAUAAAUUAUAG